Molecule: ribosomal RNA, 462 nt
Filed under: uncultured Rhodococcus sp.
Lineage: Bacteria; Bacillati; Actinomycetota; Actinomycetes; Mycobacteriales; Nocardiaceae
Description: bacterial SSU rRNA
Rfam family: Bacterial small subunit ribosomal RNA
Source: RNAcentral
CCCGGCACAAGCGGCGGAGCAUGUGGAUUAAUUCGAUGCAACGCGAAGAACCUUACCUGGGUUUGACAUAUACCGGAAAGCUGCAGAGAUGUGGCCCCCCUUGUGGUCGGUAUACAGGUGGUGCAUGGCUGUCGUCAGCUCGUGUCGUGAGAUGUUGGGUUAAGUCCCGCAACGAGCGCAACCCUAUCUUAUGUUGCCAGCACGUUAUGGUGGGGACUCGUAAGAGACUGCCGGGGUCAACUCGGAGGAAGGUGGGGACGACGUCAAGUCAUCAUGCCCCUUAUGUCCAGGGCUUCACACAUGCUACAAUGGCCAGUACAGAGGGCUGCGAGACCGUGAGGUGGAGCGAAUCCCUUAAAGCUGGUCUCAGUUCGGAUCGGGGUCUGCAACUCGACCCCGUGAAGUCGGAGUCGCUAGUAAUCGCAGAUCAGCAACGCUGCGGUGAAUACGUUCCCGGGCCUU